Non-coding RNA from Myotis lucifugus (little brown bat), 74 nucleotides. The record is from Rfam. Lineage: Eukaryota; Metazoa; Chordata; Mammalia; Chiroptera; Vespertilionidae.
GGUGGUUCUCGGGUGACGCACCCCGAAUCGGGCUCCCUCCCCUCUGUUUCCAGGUGCAUCACCCAAGAAUUGCA